Molecule: ribosomal RNA, 492 nt
Filed under: uncultured bacterium
Lineage: Bacteria
Description: partial 16S ribosomal RNA
Rfam family: Bacterial small subunit ribosomal RNA
Source: RNAcentral
AGUGAACGCUGGCGGUAGGCCUAACACAUGCAAGUCGAACGGCAGCACAGUAAGAGCUUGCUCUUACGGGUGGCGAGUGGCGGACGGGUGAGGAAUACAUCGGAAUCUACUUUUUCGUGGGGGAUAACGUAGGGAAACUUACGCUAAUACCGCAUACGACCUACGGGUGAAAGCAGGGGAUCUUCGGACCUUGCGCGAUUGAAUGAGCCGAUGUCGGAUUAGCUAGUUGGCGGGGUAAAGGCCCACCAAGGCGACGAUCCGUAGCUGGUCUGAGAGGAUGAUCAGCCACACUGGAACUGAGACACGGUCCAGACUCCUACGGGAGGCAGCAGUGGGGAAUAUUGGACAAUGGGCGCAAGCCUGAUCCAGCCAUACCGCGUGGGUGAAGAAGGCCUUCGGGUUGUAAAGCCCUUUUGUUGGGAAAGAAAAGCAGCAGGUUAAUACCCCGCCGUUCUGACGGUACCCAAGGAAUAAGCACCGGCUAACUUCGUG